Molecule: long non-coding RNA, 562 nt
Filed under: Sorghum bicolor (sorghum)
Lineage: Eukaryota; Viridiplantae; Streptophyta; Magnoliopsida; Poales; Poaceae
Description: long non-coding RNA (SBIC_LNC005408)
Source: RNAcentral
CCUCGUUUGAUUUGAGCUUUCCAUGAAGCCUCGAUGGCAUCUUGGAGCCUGCUCCAGCAAGCUAGGGUUUUUGCAUGCAUAUUUGUUUGUUUCUCGUUUUCAUCCAUCAUGUCUCAGCGUGAGAAAAUGAUUGGUUGCUCGCUCCUUUCUCACCUCGUGCACGCAUUAAGGGCGUUUCCAACAAUGUUCUUGAAUCGCUAGCUGAUGUGUACACAAGAGAAGGUAGAAAAUGUACGAGAAUCGAAAACCGAUUUAGAGAAAUAGAGAGAGAUGUGUGUGUGUGUGAGUGUUGGGUAUUUUAAACGCAAAUAGAAAAAUCCGCAAGCGCACGGAUACCGAUGUAGCUUUCACCCGGGAGUAUUCCAGAGUAUCGAUUUUCCACAAAGAAUGUGAGUGUACUAAUUAAGAUCCAAGAUCGCCCAAGGAUAACUAUAUAAUUAUUUUUGGUGGGAAGAGAGGAAGUUUCCUGAGAGUUCUCUAGUUGAUCUAAGAAUCAUGAAUUACUUCAAGAUUAUCUAUAUCGGGACAUCAGAGCACUAACCACAGAAAGAGAUGAGAAGGG